Molecule: ribosomal RNA, 497 nt
Filed under: uncultured bacterium
Lineage: Bacteria
Description: partial 16S ribosomal RNA
Rfam family: Bacterial small subunit ribosomal RNA
Source: RNAcentral
GAUGAACGCUGGCGGCGUGCCUAAUACAUGCAAGUCGAGCGAACAGACGAGGAGCUUGCUCCUCUGACGUUAGCGGCGGACGGGUGAGUAACACGUGGAUAACCUACCUAUAAGACUGGGAUAACUUCGGGAAACCGGAGCUAAUACCGGAUAAUAUAUUGAACCGCAUGGUUCAAUAGUGAAAGACGGUUUUGCUGUCACUUAUAGAUGGAUCCGCGCCGCAUUAGCUAGUUGGUAAGGUAACGGCUUACCAAGGCAACGAUGCGUAGCCGACCUGAGAGGGGGAUAGGCCACACUGGAACGGAGACACGGUCCAGACUCCUACGGGAGGCAGCAGUAGGGAAUCUUCCGCAAUGGGCGAAAGCCUGACGGAGCAACGCCGCGUGAGUGAUGAAGGUCUUCGGAUCGUAAAACUCUGUUAUUAGGGAAGAACAAAUGUGUAAGUAACUAUGCACGUCUUGACGGUACCUAAUCAGAAAGCCACGGCUAACUACGUG